This 429-nucleotide ribosomal RNA is filed under the name uncultured bacterium. RNAcentral describes it as "bacterial SSU rRNA". It matches the Rfam family "Bacterial small subunit ribosomal RNA", at positions 355 to 776 of the family's 1533-position model. The record is from RNAcentral.
UAGGGAAUAUUGCGCAAUGGAGGAAACUCUGACGCAGCGACGCCGCGUGGGUGAUGAAGGCCUUCGGGUUGUAAAGCCCUGUCAGCUGGGGCUAAAGCAUACGUGCUCAUACCACGUGUGUUUGAAUGUACCAGCAAAGGAAGCACCGGCUAACUCUGUGCCAGCAGCCGCGGUAAUACAGAGGGUGCAAGCGUUGUUCGGAAUUACUGGGCGUAAAGGGCGCGUAGGCGGUUCAGCAAGUCAGAUGUGAAAGCCCGAAGCUUAACUUCGGAAGUGCAUUUGAAACUGCUAGACUAGAGUAAAGCAGGGGUUGGCGGAAUACCCAGUGUAGAGGUGAAAUUCGUAGAUAUUGGGUAGAACACCGGUGGCGAAGGCGGCCAACUGGACUUUAACUGACGCUGAGGCGCGAAGGCGUGGGGAGCAAACAGG